UCCAAGGUUCUCACAUAUAGAACCACCAAGAUUAUCAAGGAAUAGUUAU
Hordeum vulgare subsp. vulgare (domesticated barley) is the source of this 49-nucleotide non-coding RNA. NCBI's taxonomy places the organism in Eukaryota, Viridiplantae, Streptophyta, Magnoliopsida, Poales, Poaceae. The record is from Rfam.